RNAcentral lists this long non-coding RNA (1832 nucleotides) under Malus domestica (apple). RNAcentral's name for it is "long non-coding RNA (MDOM_LNC016084)". The record is from RNAcentral. Lineage: Eukaryota; Viridiplantae; Streptophyta; Magnoliopsida; Rosales; Rosaceae.
UCGUUACAUGGGACUUUGGUGCAACUAUUGAGAAUUAAGCCGGAUCUGAUUGGUGAGGAACUAAUGUCGACUUUGGAUUGGAAAAAGAAGGUCCUAAGAAUUAAGACAGAGUAAGUAGUAAAAGCUUUGUGAAGGAAAUCAUUCAGUAGAAAAUUAUGUGGGAGAAAGAGAAUCGGAUGAGAGAGAUUUACUCGAAGCUAUUGUUGGAGUGUUGAUGAAUUGGUUGGUUACUGGAAUUUCGGGGACGAAAUUCUAUAAGGAGGGAAGAUUGUCACAGCCCGUCCCGGGAUUUUUCAUUCCGAGGACGUGAAAUUUCAAAAAUGACCUUAAACGAGAUUAAGGUGUGUAAAGAGAUGACAUUUGUUUUAUUUAAAGUUCCUAAACUAUGGUUAAUUUGUGUUAGGGACUAAAACUAGGUUGUAAUGUUGUGUUUGGGUUAAGGUGGGAUCCUCAUACCUCAAAGCACUCCCUAAAACCCGUAACCUUUCCUUCUCUCUCUUCUUCUUCCAUUUCAGAUCUCUCUCUCUCACCCUCUCGAACACACGGCAACCACCAAGACCACCACAAAAACACCCUAAACUUCCACCAACGACGGAUUUAAGAGUGCCAUCGUACUCCUGAAGACCAUACGAUCACGAUGAUACCCAUUUCAAGUAAGUUUCACUUCGAAAACCCUAGUUUCUAAAGUUGCCGUGAAUGUGUACUGUUCAUGAGCUUUGAAUUGGUUGUGUUUUAGGCCAAACCAAGCUCAUAGUGAGCUUUAGGAUGUCCCAAGGAAGCUCGGAGUGCUUCGUUGGAAGUUUUUGGACGUAAGAACACGGAGAUCGACAAGUUCAAAGUUUGGCCGGAGCUUUCGAGGCGUUUUCCGGCGAAUCCCCGGAGAGUUAGGAGUCGAGGUAGGUAUCAAUCUCUUCGUCUCGUCAAGUACUACAACUUUCCUUUUUGUUUCACUCAAUUUCGUUGAGUAUUGAAGAAGUUAUACUCAUUUGAAAAAUACCCAGUUUCCGGCGACCUCCGAGGCUUUCGAGGCAGUUUCCGGCCAAACCAAGGCGAACUAGAUGUUGUGCAAGGUACCAUUCUCUUUUUCUCUUCAAGGGCUAAAACUUUCGUUUUUGAAUCACUUGAUUUCGUUGAGAAAUGACAAAGUUAUGGCAAUUUGAAAAACUGCCCAGAAAACGGCCGCCGGAAAAACCAGUCCGGCGACCCAAGGAAGAAGAAGGUGCUACAGUAAAAAAAAUAAAAUUUUUUUUUUUUAAAAAUAUGUCGACGUCCGUGACGUCGAGUAGAUCACCGUGGUAUAUUCAUAUACCCAAUUUGAACACCGUAUGAGGAAGUUAUUAAGGAUUGUUGGUUAGGUGUUCAAAUAACGUUUUAUAGUUUUUGCAUUUAGGUGAAAAUGUGAAUUGACGAUCCGACCGUUGGAUCGUUACCAAACUUUGAUACGUUGUAAUACGUAAUAUUUGAGGAUUAUUGGAACUUACGGAUUGGGAAUCCGAGUUACGGAUCUUCCGGAAUUGGAAUUGCAAGUCCAUAAUAUAAAAUGUUAACCGUCACUUAGUUUUGGAAAUUGACGGAGAUCCGACCGUUGGAUGGUAAUGAAAUUUUAGGAUGUUAUCCUAGAGAUAUAUUGUGGACCUCUGGAAGUUAUGGAUUUAAAAUCUGAGUGGCAGAUCUUCCGGAUCGAACUACGUAGUAACGUAUUUUAUAUAAGUUAUAUAUUCUAUCGAUAUGAAUUCUGAGGUUGGAUUUGAUUACUAUUCUAGGCGGCGAUCGUCGUGACGCCUUGAUGUGUGGUGCUAGGGAGUUGUUGGACGAACUCCAGGUGAGUGGGC